GAUGACAUAGCUUUAAAAACAAACAGCUAGCACAUUGAUUUGUGGUUUGAAUUGUAGGAGGGCAUUGUCACAGGCAGUACACACACAGCAUCACAACUGAGUAGUGCACCCUUUUUGUUGGUUACAUUUUAAAAGGAGAACUCAAUAGGACUCUAUCGGGUCAUAGCUUUGUGGGUCUUGGAGGGGGAAGUCUUUUGUUUCAUGUUGAAGCCAUGAAGUGUUUGUCGAAAUGACAGAUGUUCCUUUUUUCUACACAGGAUUUCUAUUAUCAUUUUCAUUUUUGAUCUUCAUCUUAUCCUUCUUAUCUUUGUAUGAUUUUGUCUACCUUGUCCUUAUGUUUUCGUAGCUGCAUUUCUUCAACUUUAUCAUUCUUCUGCGCCCUUUCCACCCCUUUAUGCGAUGUCUCGACUGUUCUACAUGUUGUCCUCUCUUUGUUCUUCUUCCAGUCGCCUUCUUUCUCGGGACCUGCUUUGUGUGGCGUGGGGUCAACGAGGCAACUCGGACUGUGGACCAGCAAAUGGUCCCGGCACACAUCGGCCAGACUGUGGUUGUGGUCAGCGCGAGAGAGUCGCGUAAGGCCACAGAAAGUGAAGGAGAGAGUGUCAACAGAGUAUGCAGUGUCUACAUCUAACGUCAGGCCUGAAGGCCUCAGGGGCAAGAACUCUGACAGUACCAUGCCGCGUACAUACCGUGUACAUGUUGAAGCGUAUGGCCGAGCGCUUAGAAUGCUGGCAUCCAAACUGACAGGCGCGCAGUUCGAUACCCGUCUAGCGCUCCACUCGACCCAGGUGUCCUUCGUCCUUUUCAUGUUUUCGUCUUUCGGUUUUAGCUCAGAAAUCAACAAACGAUAAAUUAAACAUUGACGUCAUGGUCAAGGUGUGCGCACAUCUCUCCUUGCUUCUGACGGUAGCAGUUCAUUCUGCGACAGAACCCAAAAGAAACUGUAAGUACAGAAUACACCUACAUUAUAAUAGUGAUAUUUUCCUGUGUGGUUUUAUCACUUUUAAUAUUUGUAAUUACAUCUGUUUGUCCCAUAUAUAAAUAUAAGCUGGAAAAACAACAACCAUAAAACACCUAAACAUAUUGAUGACAUUGAGUAAUUGAUUAGUUAGUUGACAAUUGAUUAUUGAUCAUUGAUUUUAAAUAUUUUUAGUUAGCUUUUUAGUGGUCGCUCAACUUUUGCAUAUCCGCCAUUAAGUAUUGAAAAAUGUUCUCAGUUUUUUACAAAUUUAGGGUUUUAUAUUUACACAUCAUUGUUAAGCAUAUCCAAUAAUAGACAUCUAGAAUAUUUGUUGUCAGAUAAAACAGAAGUUAAAGUAAAAGUAUGUUUUGAUGUCAGCAGAGCACAUCGAUAUAGUUAAGUUUUUAUUUGAGUAAAUUAAUAAAGGAGUGUCCGUGUGUGUGUGUGAAGGAGGGAGAAAGAAAUGAGGGAAUAAAACAGACCGAAAGAAAAAGAAAUAAUAGAUGACAAAGGUUGGGGCUGCUUGUGAAAAAGGCUGGGAGGAUAUAAUGGGACGAAAGGCACGAAAACCUUUUCUCUACUAUUUGUUUUAGUAAAUCUAAAGGUCUAUUUAGUUUUAGUUUAAUUACUCCCUGCGACUCCCCAUUGAGCACAGGGUCACAACACUCCUCCUUUAAACAUUUGAAAUUAAAAUAUUUAAAAGUCAAUUUCAUUUGCUUUGGUUUGUCACUGUUUAUUUAAUUCCUAUACUUUUUCUUUUAUUUUUUGAGUAUCAUUUAUUCAUCUUUAUCAUAAAUGGUCUCUAAUUGUUGUACAUAUAAGAUGUUUUGUGAUAGCAUGAUGUAAAUGUCUUGUGGGCUUAAACCCAAUAACAUAAAAUAUGUUUUAAUGAAAAGAAAAAUAAAUUUUUCUUGCUAUGUUGAUGUGGAACUGCAGAGAGUAUGUGUUAUUUCUAAACAUUUGAAUUAGGUUUAAAAAAAACAUUUGUUAAAUAUUCUAUAAAUGUUUACGUCAGAACAACUAUUCAAUGCUUAACGAUAGUUGUGCAGAAAAUGCUUAUAAAACUUUUAAAAACAUUUUAAAAGGUUUGAAAAAAGUUUAAAAGCAAGCAUUACUAAAACAUUACUUUGAUGGUUAUAAUAAACGUUUACAAACAUUUGCUGCUGACAUUAUGCAAACAUUUUGCGAUAAAAUUUUUUAUACGUUAAUAAAAUGUUUGAAUGCUGUCUAGGAAGUUCAUUUCAUCGAUUUCAAGUUCGAAUUUAAUUAUUAAUAAUAAACAAAUACGAGAGAGAGUGUGUGGUUUUUUUUUUUUUUUUUUUGCUUUAACCUUACGGUUGAAACUUCUUGACUAGUUAUUUUGAAUUUAUCAUGCACUAGGUUACCACCUUGCUUACGCCAAUCGUAUGCAUGCUCGUUACACUCGAUCUUGGUAAAUACGUACAAUUAGUAGACAUGAGAUAUGAUUAAAUAAUUCAAUUAUUUACAGAAAAGGGUAUCUUAAUUUUUUACAGAGCAUGAGACAGAGUCAGCGUCAUGCAAAAGCGAGUUAUGUUGCGAGCGGAAGUGCAAUGUGCAAGUCUAUACGACCGGAUGGUUACAAGUUAAACAUUUCACAAAAUUCAAUUUAACUUUAUUAUCUCAACGAGGAGAAAUUACAAGACGCAGUAAAACAACUGGCUUAUAAUAAAAAAACUUAAUAAAAACUUAAU
This 2673-nucleotide long non-coding RNA is filed under the name Pomacea canaliculata. RNAcentral's name for it is "uncharacterized LOC112567817". The record is from RNAcentral. Lineage: Eukaryota; Metazoa; Mollusca; Gastropoda; Architaenioglossa; Ampullariidae.